This 1437-nucleotide ribosomal RNA is filed under the name Klebsiella sp. XMJ-1. Its description in RNAcentral is "bacterial SSU rRNA". It matches the Rfam family "Bacterial small subunit ribosomal RNA". Lineage: Bacteria; Pseudomonadati; Pseudomonadota; Gammaproteobacteria; Enterobacterales; Enterobacteriaceae. The record is from RNAcentral.
CGGUCGAGCGGUAGCACAGAGAGCUUGCUCUCGGGUGACGAGCGGCGGACGGGUGAGUAAUGUCUGGGAAACUGCCUGAUGGAGGGGGAUAACUACUGGAAACGGUAGCUAAUACCGCAUAACGUCGCAAGACCAAAGUGGGGGACCUUCGGGCCUCAUGCCAUCAGAUGUGCCCAGAUGGGAUUAGCUGGUAGGUGGGGUAACGGCUCACCUAGGCGACGAUCCCUAGCUGGUCUGAGAGGAUGACCAGCCACACUGGAACUGAGACACGGUCCAAACUUAUACGGGAGGCAGCAGUGGGGAAUAUUGCACAAUGGGCGCAAGCCUGAUGCAGCCAUGCCGCGUGUGUGAAGAAGGCCUUCGGGUUGUAAAGCACUUUCAGCGGGGAGGAAGGCGGUGAGGUUAAUAACCUUGUCGAUUGACGUUACCCGCAGAAGAAGCACCGGCUAACUCCGUGCCAGCAGCCGCGGUAAUACGGAGGGUGCAAGCGUUAAUCGGAAUUACUGGGCGUAAAGCGCACGCAGGCGGUCUGUCAAGUCGGAUGUGAAAUCCCCGGGCUCAACCUGGGAACUGCAUUCGAAACUGGCAGGCUAGAGUCUUGUAGAGGGGGGUAGAAUUCCAGGUGUAGCGGUGAAAUGCGUAGAGAUCUGGAGGAAUACCGGUGGCGAAGGCGGCCCCCUGGACAAAGACUGACGCUCAGGUGCGAAAGCGUGGGGAGCAAACAGGAUUAGAUACCCUGGUAGUCCACGCUGUAAACGAUGUCGAUUUGGAGGUUGUGCCCUUGAGGCGUGGCUUCCGGAGCUAACGCGUUAAAUCGACCGCCUGGGGAGUACGGCCGCAAGGUUAAAACUCAAAUGAAUUGACGGGGGCCCGCACAAGCGGUGGAGCAUGUGGUUUAAUUCGAUGCAACGCGAAGAACCUUACCUGGUCUUGACAUCCACAGAACUUUCCAGAGAUGGAUUGGUGCCUUCGGGAACUGUGAGACAGGUGCUGCAUGGCUGUCGUCAGCUCGUGUUGUGAAAUGUUGGGUUAAGUCCCGCAACGAGCGCAACCCUUAUCCUUUGUUGCCAGCGGUUAGGCCGGGAACUCAAAGGAGACUGCCAGUGAUAAACUGGAGGAAGGUGGGGAUGACGUCAAGUCAUCAUGGCCCUUACGACCAGGGCUACACACGUGCUACAAUGGCAUAUACAAAGAGAAGCGACCUCGCGAGAGCAAGCGGACCUCAUAAAGUAUGUCGUAGUCCGGAUUGGAGUCUGCAACUCGACUCCAUGAAGUCGGAAUCGCUAGUAAUCGUAGAUCAGAAUGCUACGGUGAAUACGUUCCCGGGCCUUGUACACACCGCCCGUCACACCAUGGGAGUGGGUUGCAAAAGAAGUAGGUAGCUUAACCUUCGGGAGGGCGCUUACCACUUUGUGAUUCAUGACUGGGGUGAAGUCG